AUACGGAGGGAGCAAGCGUUAUUCGGAAUCACUGGGCGUAAAGGACGCGUAGGCGGGUUUGUAAGUCAGGUGCGAAAUCCUACAGCUCAACUGUAGAACUGCACUUGAAACUACAGACCUAGAGUAUGGAAGGGGCAGAUGGAAUUAGUGGUGUAGGGGUAAAAUCCGUAGAUAUCACUAGGAAUACCGAAAGCGAAGGCGAUCUGCUGGGACAUUACUGACGCUGAGGCGUGAAAGCGUGGGGAGCAAACAGGAUUAGAAACCCCAGUAGUCC
This 274-nucleotide ribosomal RNA is filed under the name uncultured bacterium. RNAcentral describes it as "partial 16S ribosomal RNA". It matches the Rfam family "Bacterial small subunit ribosomal RNA", at positions 523 to 796 of the family's 1533-position model. The record is from RNAcentral.